CAAAAGGCUCUUUUCAGAGCCCCUCAAUUCUGCUAAAAGAUCUGU
Molecule: non-coding RNA, 45 nt
Organism: Pteropus alecto (black flying fox)
Lineage: Eukaryota; Metazoa; Chordata; Mammalia; Chiroptera; Pteropodidae
Source: Rfam